GAUGAACGCUGGCGGCGUGCCUAAUACAUGCAAGUCGAGCGAACAGACGAGGAGCUUGCUCCUCUGACGUUAGCGGCGGACGGGUGAGUAACACGUGGAUAACCUACCUAUAAGACUGGGAUAACUUCGGGAAACCGGAGCUAAUACCGGAUAAUAUAUUGAACCGCAUGGUUCAAUAGUGAAAGACGGUUUUGCUGUCACUUAUAGAUGGAUCCGCGCCGCAUUAGCUAGUUGGUAAGGUAACGGCUUACCAAGGCAACGAUGCGUAGCCGACCUGAGCGGGUGAUCGGGCACACUGGAACUGAGACACGGUCCAGACUCCUACGGGAGGCAGCAGUAGGGAAUCUUCCGCAAUGGGCGAAAUCCUGACGGAGCAACGCCGCGUGAGUGAUGAAGGUCUUCGGAUCGUAAAACUCUGUUAUUAGGGAAGAACAAAUGUGUAAGUAACUAUGCACGUCUUGACGGUACCUAAUCAGAAAGCCACGGCUAACUACGUG
RNAcentral lists this ribosomal RNA (497 nucleotides) under uncultured bacterium. Its description in RNAcentral is "partial 16S ribosomal RNA". It matches the Rfam family "Bacterial small subunit ribosomal RNA", at positions 28 to 507 of the family's 1533-position model. The record is from RNAcentral.